RNAcentral lists this ribosomal RNA (610 nucleotides) under uncultured bacterium. RNAcentral's name for it is "bacterial SSU rRNA". It matches the Rfam family "Bacterial small subunit ribosomal RNA", at positions 276 to 873 of the family's 1533-position model. The record is from RNAcentral.
ACGAUGCGUAGGGGUUCUGAGAGGAAGGUCCCCCACAUUGGAACUGAGACACGGUCCAAACUCCUACGGGAGGCAGCAGUGAGGAAUAUUGGUCAAUGGGCGGAAGCCUGAACCAGCCAAGUCGCGUGAGGGAAUAAGGCCCUAAGGGUCGUAAACCUCUUUUGCCGGGGAGCAAUGGUCCGCUUGCGAGCGGACAGGGAGAGUACCCGGAGAAAAAGCAUCGGCUAACUCCGUGCCAGCAGCCGCGGUAAUACGGAGGAUGCGAGCGUUAUCCGGAUUUAUUGGGUUUAAAGGGUGCGUAGGCGGAUCGUCAAGUCAGCGGUCAAAAGUCGGGGCUCAACCCCGUGAAGCCGUUGAAACUGGUGGUCUUGAGUGAGCGAGAAGCAGGCGGAAUGCGUGGUGUAGCGGUGAAAUGCAUAGAUAUCACGCAGAACCCCGAUUGCGAAGGCAGCCUGCCGGCGCUCAACUGACGCUGAGGCACGAAAGUGCGGGGAUCGAACAGGAUUAGAUACCCUGGUAGUCCGCACAGUAAACGAUGAAUGCUAGCUGUCCGGUGCGAAGAGUCACUGGGGGUCACAGUCGAAAGUGUUAAGUCAUUCCACCGGUGUGU